RNAcentral lists this ribosomal RNA (253 nucleotides) under uncultured bacterium. RNAcentral's name for it is "partial 16S ribosomal RNA". It matches the Rfam family "Bacterial small subunit ribosomal RNA", at positions 524 to 776 of the family's 1533-position model. The record is from RNAcentral.
UACGUAGGGGGCAAGCGUUGUUCGGAAUUACUGGGCGUAAAGGGCGCGUAGGCGGCACGGCAAGUCGGGAGUGAAAGCCCGGGGCUCAACCCUGGAGGGUCUUCCGAAACUGCCGAGCUAGAGUGCGGAAGAGGCAACCGGAAUUCCCAGCGUAGCGGUGAAAUGCGUAGAUAUUGGGAAGAACACCAGAGGCGAAGGCGGGUUGCUGGGCCGACACUGACGCUGAGGCGCGAAAGCCAGGGGAGCAAACGGG